UACGAAGGGCGCUAGCGUUGUUCGGAAUCAUUGGGCGUAAAGCGCACGUAGGCGGCUUUGUCAGUCAGGGGUGAAAUCCCGGGGCUCAACCUCGGAACUGCCUUUGAUACAGCAAGUCUUGAGUUCGAGAGAGGUGGGUGGAAUUCCUAGUGUAGAGGUGAAAUUCGUAGAUAUUAGGAAGAACACCGGUGGCGAAGGCGGCCCACUGGCUCGAUACUGACGCUGAGGUGCGAAAGCGUGGGGAGCAAACAGG
This 253-nucleotide ribosomal RNA is filed under the name uncultured bacterium. RNAcentral describes it as "partial 16S ribosomal RNA". It matches the Rfam family "Bacterial small subunit ribosomal RNA", at positions 524 to 776 of the family's 1533-position model. The record is from RNAcentral.